Molecule: non-coding RNA, 28 nt
Filed under: Xenopus tropicalis (tropical clawed frog)
Lineage: Eukaryota; Metazoa; Chordata; Amphibia; Anura; Pipidae
Also listed under: 4 other names
Source: RNAcentral
CAAGUGUAGUAUCUGUUCUUAUCAGUUU